RNAcentral lists this ribosomal RNA (253 nucleotides) under uncultured bacterium. Its description in RNAcentral is "partial 16S ribosomal RNA". It matches the Rfam family "Bacterial small subunit ribosomal RNA", at positions 524 to 776 of the family's 1533-position model. The record is from RNAcentral.
GACGAACCGUGCGAACGUUAUUCGGAAUCACUGGGCUUAAAGAGCGUGUAGGCGGCCAGGUAGGUCUGCUGUGAAAACUCGAGGCUCAACCUCGAGACGUCGGCGGAAACCAUCUGGCUAGAGUCCGGAAGAGGAGAGUGGAAUUCCUGGUGUAGCGGUGAAAUGCGCAGAUAUCAGGAAGAACACCCGUGGCGAAGGCGGCUCUCUGGGACGGUACUGACGCUGAGACGCGAAAGCGUGGGGAGCGAACAGG